RNAcentral lists this transfer RNA (75 nucleotides) under Candidatus Woesebacteria bacterium RIFOXYA1_FULL_38_9. RNAcentral's name for it is "tRNA-Gln". It matches the Rfam family "tRNA". From Rfam's summary of the family: Transfer RNA (tRNA) molecules are approximately 80 nucleotides in length. The record is from RNAcentral. Lineage: Bacteria; Candidatus Woeseibacteriota. RNAcentral also lists the same sequence under 1 other name.
UGCGGGGUGGAGCAAUGGUAGUCUCGUCGCUCUCUGGAAGCGAAAAUCUAGGUUCAAGUCCUAGCCCCGCAGCAA